GUUCUCGGCUCUCGGCACAGAUUUGAUUACGCAGAAGGCACGAAACGAUUCGUUUACCAAAUACCACGAACCGGGUGCACGAAGUUGAAAUUAGAUUUCUAGUCCACGUAUGCCAGCCUGAUUUCAGGACAGCCUGUGUAUAAGCACAUCAGAGAUUCUAAUAAUACACGACGACGACUAGAAAGAGCAAGAGAAAGAAAGAAAGAGAGAGAGAGAGAGAGAGAGAGAGAGAGAGAGAGAGAGAGAGAGAGAGAGUACCAUAGCCAAUCCUUGCUUCGACAAUGGCUGCCUUCCUCUUUCAUCCAUCUAUCAACGAUUUAUUUCCACACGUUACGAACAAGGUUCGCCAUUUCUAACUAACCUCUGCUACUAUUAAGGCGGCGGCGGCGACGACGACGACUACCAUGUUGUACGAUUUUCAGAUACACAGGUCGAACCACACCCUCAAGAAAAAAAUGGGUUGCACUACUUGCCAACCCUCUCGGUUCACUAGUCUCUUUUCUUUUUACGUAUAUAUACAUACAUACAUAUAUGUAAAGUAUAUAUAUAUAUAUAUAUAUAUAUAUAUAUACAUAUACAUUAAUGUAUGUAUAUAUUUGUCAUUCCACGACAUCAAGUCGCCACACGUUAACACCAUUACCUCAAACCUCUUAUCACAAGGCAUAGGAAUAUUCAUAGUUAUGCAUACUCCCGGCAAUCUCGCCUGACCUAUCGGGGUAAAUGAAAAAUGUUGAAACGUUCCCUCUAUAUAUGACAAUAUCGUCUAGAAACAUAUAUAUAUAUAUACAUGUAAUCUCGAUGGAAAAAUUAAUUGUCUGAUAAUAAUACUGCCCAUGUAUACAUAUGAAAUAUAUAAAGAACGCAUCGACACCAUUGAAUUAUUUAACAUAUCAUUUUACCAAUCGUUCAUCAAAAACGAUCAUUUAUAAUAUACACUCGAAGAAUAAUAGUCGGAGAUAAUAUUUGAUCA
Long non-coding RNA from Vespa crabro (European hornet), 970 nucleotides. RefSeq lists it as uncharacterized. The record is from RefSeq and is a predicted model, not a curated record. The transcript has 2 exons. Lineage: Eukaryota; Metazoa; Arthropoda; Insecta; Hymenoptera; Vespidae.